AGCACACAAGGAGUGGAGCCUGCGGCUAAUUUGACUCAACACGGGAAAACUCACGRGUACAAGAGAGGGGUACGAAGCCCGGCAUAUAUUGCCCGGCUUGAUUCCCUCAGUGGUGGUGCAUGGUCGUUCUUAGUUCGUGGAGUGAUCUGUCMGGUCUAUUCCGUUAACGAGCGAGAACUCCCCCUCUGUUGGUUGCCGGGCUGUGCGCCUGGCCGUGUCCUCGGCUGCGUGCGGACAUCGGUGCUCCCUCCGGGGGGUGCCCCUAAGUCGGCGCGGCCUUGGGCUAGGCCUCUUUUUAGUGCGCCGGCUGCGGGCCCCACAGGGUGUACCGGCGAAAGCCGUACUUUGGGGUCAAUAACAGGUUGCAUAGUGGCCUGUAAAAUGGCAUAAAAGGUGACCACUAGUCGGUUCCUCUAAGGAGGAGCAGGCACACCUCAAAUUGCGGGGACGUCUGUAGCACUGUCUACUAACCAACGCCCAAAAUGGGGGAAAAAUCAGAGCUUGAUGUCCAGGGAUCCCUUCGGGGUGAUGGGCGGARCUGCYCUGCUUGGGGCCAAGGGUAAAUUGNNCUUGGAAAAUAAUAAAAACGSCAGNUAAUAGGGRAUAAWUCCCSNAGCCCAAGNCUNGUNUNAAAAAAGGCAUGGCAUCUGUACAAGGUGUGUGUCCGUAAGNAAGNAAUUAGGGGUAUCCAAUGUAAAGAUCCCGGGCUCCUUUUCUUAACCACGGGUGCUGUUCACAGACUAAAUGGUGGUGGGUCGGUGCUGGGUGGNYUGUGUACCUGCCCAGUACUGGCUUAAGAUAUAGUCGACCCCAUGRAGACAUGGCCUGUGGRAGGAGUGCUAGGGGUAACGCCUUGGCAGGAGAGCCCACGGGGUCUUGGCYUGGCUCCUUUACCGGAGCCUUGUUGAGGCGGAAUCAUCGCAGUGAUGCCCUUAGAUGUACUCGGCCGCACGCGCGCUACAAUGGGCCGGCCACCGGGUCUCUGCUCCGCAAGGAUGUGGGGAAUCCUGGGAAGCCGGCUCACAUCCGGGAUCGUGGCAUGUACUGUGCCGCGUGAACACGGAAUUUCUAGUAGGCGUGGUUCACCAGACCGCGCCGAUUCUGUCCCUGCUCUUUGUACACACCGCCCGUCGCUCCUACCGAUUGGGCUGCGGGGUGAAAUCGGGGGACCUCAAGAAUCCAGCUCUGCACCGGCGGGCCGCAGCCUCCGUGUGGGCAACCCCUUUGAACCUUGUGGCCUA
RNAcentral lists this ribosomal RNA (1241 nucleotides) under Arcyria cinerea. RNAcentral's name for it is "partial small subunit ribosomal RNA". It matches the Rfam family "Eukaryotic small subunit ribosomal RNA", at positions 1174 to 1795 of the family's 1831-position model. Lineage: Eukaryota; Evosea; Eumycetozoa; Trichiida; Trichiidae. The record is from RNAcentral.